UGGGGGAUAUUGCGCAAUGGGGGCAACCCUGACGCAGCAACGCCGCGUGAAGGAUGAAGGUUUUCGGAUUGUAAACUUCUUUUAUUAAGGACGAAAAAUGACGGUACUUAAUGAAUAAGCUCCGGCUAACUACGUGCCAGCAGCCGCGGUAAUACGUAGGGAGCAAGCGUUGUCCGGAUUUACUGGGUGUAAAGGGUGCGUAGGCGGCUUUGCAAGUCAGAUGUGAAAUCUAUGGGCUCAACCCAUAAACUGCAUUUGAAACUGUAGAGCUUGAGUGAAGUAGAGGCAGGCGGAAUUCCCCGUGUAGCGGUGAAAUGCGUAGAGAUGAGGAGGAACACCAGUGGCGAAGGCGGCCUGCUGGGCUUUAACUGACGCUGAGGCACGAAAGCGUGGGUAGCAAACAGGAUUAGAUACCCUGGUAGUCCACGCUGUAAACGAUGAUUACUAGGUGUGGGGGGUCUGACCCCUUCCGUGCCGGAGUUAACACAAUAAGUAAUCCACCUGGGGAGUACGGCCGCAAGGUUGAAACUCAAAGGAAUUGACGGGGGCCCGCACAAGCAGUGGAGUAUGUGGUUUAAUUCGAAGCAACGCGAAGAACCUUACCAGGUCUUGACAUCCAACUAACGAAGUAGAGAUACAUUAGGUGCCCUUCGGGGAAAGUUGAGACAGGUGGUGCAUGGUUGUCGUCAGCUCGUGUCGUGAGAUGUUGGGUUAAGUCCCGCAACGAGCGCAACCCUUGCUAUUAGUUGCUACGCAAGAGCACUCUAAUAGGACUGCCGUUGACAAAACGGAGGAAGGUGGGGACGACGUCAAAUCAUCAUGCCCCUUAUGACCUGGGCUACACACGUACUACAAUGGAUGUUAACAGAGGGAAGCAAGACAGCGAUGUGGAGCAAACCCCUAAAAACAUUCUCAGUUCAGAUUGCAGGCUGCAACCCGCCUGCAUGAAGAUGGAAUUGCUAGUAAUCGCGGAUCAGCAUGCCGCGGUGAAUACGUUCCC
Molecule: ribosomal RNA, 1000 nt
Filed under: uncultured organism
Description: bacterial SSU rRNA
Rfam family: Bacterial small subunit ribosomal RNA
Source: RNAcentral